GACGAACGCUGGCGGCGUGCUUAACACAUGCAAGUCGAACGGGCCCGCUCUCUUUUUUGGGGGUGGGUUGAGUGGCGAACGGGUGAGUAUCACGUGAGUAACCUGCCCCCUGCUCCUGGAUAACUGCUUGAAAGGGCGGCUAAUACGGGGUGUGCCGGCUGGUCCGCAUGGGCCUGGUCGGGAUAGUUUCAUCUUCGGGUGUUUCGGUGGGGGAUGGGCUCGCGGCCUAUCAGCUUGUUGGUGGGGUGAUGGCCCACCAAGGCGGUGACGGGUAGCCGGCCUGAGGGGGUGGGCGGCCACACUGGGACUGAGACACGGCCCAGACUCCUGCGGGAGGCAGCAGUGGGGGGUAUUGCGCAAUGGGCGGAAGCCUGAUGCAGCGACGUCGCGUGAGGGAUGGAGGCCUUCGGGUUGUGAACCUCUUUCUCCGGUGGUGAAGGCCCUGUCCGUUGCGGCGGGGUUGACGGUAGCCGGGUAUGAAGCGCCGGCUAACUACGUG
RNAcentral lists this ribosomal RNA (499 nucleotides) under uncultured bacterium. Its description in RNAcentral is "partial 16S ribosomal RNA". It matches the Rfam family "Bacterial small subunit ribosomal RNA", at positions 28 to 507 of the family's 1533-position model. The record is from RNAcentral.